RNAcentral lists this long non-coding RNA (2601 nucleotides) under Homo sapiens (human). Its description in RNAcentral is "HSALNT0071803". The record is from RNAcentral. Lineage: Eukaryota; Metazoa; Chordata; Mammalia; Primates; Hominidae.
CCGCCACCCUGUCUGGGAGGAAGAUCACUUCUCUAGCAGUAUGAAGGAUGGACCGGAAGGGGAAAGAUUGAAGGCAGAGACCAGUGUAGUCAUUAUUACUGUAGCUGAAGUGGAAAAUGAUGAAGGCAUUUUAAAGAGAAUUUAAUUUGCCUCUACCUUAGCACUCUGCUGCUGCAACUGGAGACUGGAGAAAAAGACUGGUGUGUUGCAGCUACAUCAAGCCAUGUUGGGACUGCCAACCUUCCCAAAAUGAAAUGCAGAACUUGAGAGCAGCUGUUUGCCUAAAACCUGAUAGAUAAUUCAAGGUGAUACUAUUUUCUGAGGUGGUCCUAAAAAGGAGGAAAAAAAAAGAAGAAGAGUAGAACAGUUGAAUAAGAAGUGUGAAGUGGCUGAUGGGUACAGACUAUGUUCUUAAGCUCUCUUGCCUUCUGGCUUUCAGAUGGAUUCAGUCAACAGCAAAGACUAGCAAGACAACACCCUAACCCCACCCCACCCCCAGGAAUGUGAUGAUCUGGUUAUAUCCCUGGACCUAGAGGCACAGCCCUAUCAGGAAGCUCUCUCUGUCUCCCUCUCCCUUCUCUUCUCCUUCCCUCUUCUACCACCCCUCUUGAGGCUCAUAGUUUUAGGCCUACAGGUGUUGAUGUGGUUUGGCUGUGUCCCCACCCAAAUAUCAUCUUGAAUUGUAACUCCUACAACUCCCACUUGUCAUGGGAGGGACCCAGUGGGAGGUAAUUGAAUCAUGGGGUUGGGUCUUUCUUGUGCUGUUCUCGCUAUAGUGAAUAAACCUCAUGAGACCUGAUGGUUUUAAAAAGAGGAGUUCCUCUGCACAAGCUCUCUCUCUUUGCCUGCUGCCAUCCAUGUAAGACAUAACUUGCUCCUCCUUGCCUUCUGUCAUAAUUGUGAGGCCUUCUCAGUCAUGUGGAACUUUAAGUCAAUUAAACCUCUUUUUCUUCCCAGUCUCAGGUAUGUCUUUAUCAGCAGCGUGAAAAUGGACUAAUACAGGUUUUAACCAUUUAGGUACCAUAACUAAUCUUAGUGUACUUCCUACACUGGUGUAAAUUGUCCCAUAUUAAAUGUUAUUAAAUGUCCCAGCUGAGUGUGUCUUCUCUCUCUUCCUGGGUUUCUGAUAGAUCCACUCUAUCAGACCCACUCUGGCCACCAGCCGUCUUUUCCAUUGACUAGAGGGAUGUUACUUGAAGGAUCAGUUUUUAGUGGCACCAGAUUUAUGUGGCAAUAAAAUUUGAAAAUAAAUAGGUUUGGGGUCCUACUGACUUGGAUUAAAAUUCUGGCUCUCCAGAAAAUACUAGCCUUGUGGCUUUGAACAAGAUACUUAGCUCCUCUAAGCAUUAACUUGCUCAUCUAUAAUAUGAGUAAAACUACUUUCCCCAUAGGAGCAUUUUAAGAUUAAAUAAAAUAUCAUGUAAAAGGAUCUAGUAUAAUGAUUCUCAACAAUGAGAGUAUAUCAAGGUAUAUCAGUGGUAUUUUUUGAAUGUGCAUAUGUCAUAUACAUCCCUAGAGGUUUUCAGUUCAGUGUGAAGGGCUGGUAUGUAUGUGUUUAUAUGAAGCCGGGAGUGGUGGAGGAGAUGCAGCAUCUCUUUAGUUACCUUUAUGGCUGAAUGUGAUCCUAAGCAAGCAUGAAAUUCAACACCCUAAUACAACAUAGUAUAUAAAUAAAUGUUGUUUUUUUUACCCUUUCUGUCAAUAUUUUGCUAUACUUUAACCAAAAGCCCCCAUCAAAGGAAUCUAUGAUUUUCAUUCCCAAUAAUGACUAAAGGAUUAAACUGCAAAUAUCUAAGCAAAGCAACUUACAUUAAGGAUAAAUAAGUGAUGAAAAAAAUAAUUUCCUGUUUAUUGGCAGGGCAACAGAGAAUUAGAUAGAGUUACUCAGGCAGAGAAGCAAUAAUAUCAAAGUGAAAGACAAUUCAGAAAGAGAGUACUAGAUACUACCAAAGUAAAUGCCUUAUUCUAUUUGUUUCUAUUCACUGGGAGGAAGAAAAAAAUGCUUAAUGACAAUAGAAUGUAACAUUUGUGUCUUGAAAACUAACUGGUCUUGCAGUGCAAGAUAGAAGAUUAAGGAAGCCCUCUUUGAAGAAGAGAUCAAUGAAUUCAGCUGAGAAUUUUGUACCCACCAUGUGCCAGACAUAGUGCUAGGUUCUGGAGGAGACACAACUAUGGAUAAGAUGAGCUUUCUGCCUGAUGAAGUUCAUAGGCUUUCUCCAACUCCAAGUGGGUGAGGACAAAAAGAUGCAGAGAAAAGAUUUUACAUGUGUGUAGAAUGAUCCCUAUAAUUUUCUGGGAAGAUGAACUAAGAUGCACUCCAUACCAAAUGGGUCUAACUGAAUUUCCUACACUAGCUUUUUUUUUUCUUUCACUUUUUACUUUCAAAUUUUCUUUGCCACCUUCGAAAAAGUCAUCUAUAUCCCUCUCUUCUCCUCCCUCUUGUCUUUCCAAUGACAAAUAAUAUGGGCCAGGGCAUGGUCGGAAAUAGAGUCUAUUAAAGAAUAGUAUUUUAUAAUUAUACAGUGUUUGAAAUGCUUGGGAUAUUUUAGAAUAUCUCUUUCUAUAGACUUCAAGAACUAUGAAGAAAAGGGGAACCUGAAU